AAAAAAAAAAAAAAAAGAAACCUUUGGGGAAACUUCAGUCAGACUCUUCCCUUCUCCCUACCACCCCAAGUCGGAACGAAUAGCGAAGUCGUCUAGCACCCUUAACCAGCACCAAGCACCCCUACUCCAGACAUCCGGCCGUCCCCAAGUCUUCGUCCGGCUUCUCUAUCCGCGAAAUCCAUAAAAAAAUUACAGGCUUGGUUGCUAGGCGGAAAACAUGGCGGAUGAGCGCGCGUUAAAUUUCUCUUGUUCUUUUAGGAUCGUUUGUAGCUCGAGCUAAGGCAGUUCCAGAUGCCUUAACAUAUGAGCUGAGUCUCGAUGCUGGAAACCUCUUCGCUAUCAACAGCACAACAGGAAUAAUUUCAGUGCAGGACCGCGUUGACCGAGAGGUACAAAGUGUUACUGAUGGAAAAUUUAUGGUAUAUGCCAUUGAUAAUGCUGGUAACCAGGCUUCAGCACAAGUCUUUUAUUGGAUUCUAGAUGUCAAUGAUCACUUACCUCAUUUUCCAAGUCAAUACUACAAUGUCACUGUUGGAGAGGUAAUUGUAAAGUCAUGCUUGUG
Molecule: long non-coding RNA, 562 nt
Organism: Orbicella faveolata
Lineage: Eukaryota; Metazoa; Cnidaria; Anthozoa; Scleractinia; Merulinidae
Source: RefSeq, a predicted model, not a curated record